AUACUUACCUGGCAGGGGAGACACCAUGACCACAAAGGAGGUUUUCCCACGCUAGGCUUAUCCAUUGCACUCUGGAUGUGUUGACCCCUGUGAUUUUCCAAAAUGCAGGAGAAAUGGCUCAGUGGUUAAGAGUGCGGGCUGCUCUUCCAGAGGACUCCGGU
This is a small nuclear RNA of Microtus ochrogaster (prairie vole), 161 nucleotides long. Its record names the gene U1. It matches the Rfam family "U1 spliceosomal RNA". From Rfam's summary of the family: U1 is a small nuclear RNA (snRNA) component of the spliceosome (involved in pre-mRNA splicing). Its 5' end forms complementary base pairs with the 5' splice junction, thus defining the 5' donor site of an intron. The record is from Ensembl. Lineage: Eukaryota; Metazoa; Chordata; Mammalia; Rodentia; Cricetidae.